RNAcentral lists this non-coding RNA (21 nucleotides) under Arabidopsis thaliana (thale cress). Lineage: Eukaryota; Viridiplantae; Streptophyta; Magnoliopsida; Brassicales; Brassicaceae. The record is from RNAcentral.
CGUACAUGUCUAAAUUACUGC